Molecule: long non-coding RNA, 131 nt
Organism: Quercus lobata
Lineage: Eukaryota; Viridiplantae; Streptophyta; Magnoliopsida; Fagales; Fagaceae
Exons: 2
Source: RefSeq, a predicted model, not a curated record
GUGAUUGGGUGAACUGCGGAAUAUGUGGCGAGUGGGCUCACUUUGGCAGUGAUAGGCGGCAGGGGCUUGGUGCUUUUAAGGACUAUGCUAAAACGGAUGGGCUGGAGUACAUUUGUCCGCACUGCAGCAUC